Molecule: ribosomal RNA, 503 nt
Filed under: uncultured eukaryote
Lineage: Eukaryota
Description: bacterial SSU rRNA
Rfam family: Eukaryotic small subunit ribosomal RNA
Source: RNAcentral
AUAGCAUGCUGUCUAGAUCGCUAGGAAAGGUUCACGCCUGUUUACGAGUAAUCUGCGGAAGGCUCAUUAUAACAGUUACAAACUUAGCUACUAGCUUCUUUUAUAAGGAUAACACAGUCAAAUGCAGUGAUAAUACUUGAAUCAACGUCAGUGAAUUGUAUAGCUGACAAACAGUAGCAAACAAACGGAAGGUGUGCUACAACAUCUCUUCGGAGAUGGGUUGACCACAGUAUUGUGGCCUAGAAGAAGUAUUUCUUCCUUAUCAGCUAGUUGUUUCAGUAAGGGUGAAACAAGGCUAUCACGGGUACGGGGAAUCAGUGUUUGAUUCCGGAGAGGGAGCCUGAGAAAUGGCUACUACAUCUAAGGACGGCAGCAGGCGCGAAAAUUACCCAAUCCUAACAUUUGGGAGGUAGUGACAAGAAAUAACGUCCUUACAUUACAAGUGGAAGGGUACCGCAAGGUUUGGAAUGGUUCUAGUUCAAACUUCUAUUAGAGUAACAAUU